RNAcentral lists this small RNA (72 nucleotides) under Aneurinibacillus aneurinilyticus. Lineage: Bacteria; Bacillati; Bacillota; Bacilli; Caryophanales; Paenibacillaceae. The record is from RNAcentral.
UACUGCAACCGCUCGAUUAAGGUCAUAAGUCGACCUUUUGGUCGCACCGGAUAUCGGCGAGUCUGAGUAUAU